GGUUUGGAGCUGAGUUGUUUUUGACGUGGGAUUCGGGUUUGAUUUCUGGGUUCGUGGGUCAGAUUGAAGACGGGUCUGGUUGCGGAUUCGCUGGUCUGAAUUUGGAUUUUUGGAGGUUGCUGAUUUUGUUGUUUAUUUAUGUUGAUGGUAGUUUGUCGUUGAUGGAGGGGUUAUCAUUGUUGGAGUUGUACGCUGGUGAUGUUAUACACUGGUUGCGGAUUCGCUGGUCUGAAUUUGGAUUUUUGGAGGUUGCUGAUUUUGUUGUUUAUUUAUGUUGAUGGUAGUUUGUCGUUGAUGGAGGGGUUAUCAUUGUUGGAGUUGUACGCUGGUGAUGUUAUACACACGAGAAGAAGAAAAAAAUUGUUGGGCCGGGUCAUUAUUUGGGCUGUUGGGCUGAUGGCUGUUUCUUUGUUAAUUGGGGGGUUAUUUAAUAUAAC
RNAcentral lists this long non-coding RNA (437 nucleotides) under Capsicum annuum. RNAcentral describes it as "long non-coding RNA (CANN_LNC013153)". Lineage: Eukaryota; Viridiplantae; Streptophyta; Magnoliopsida; Solanales; Solanaceae. The record is from RNAcentral.